CGUAUGUAUCUUAUUAUAAAAUAAUUCCAGACAAAAAUACUUGGAACAAUGGAGACAUCUCAGACCAAACAUUCCGAUCCGUCCGACAUACAGGAGAAGGAGACCAGUAUGGAGAAUAACCUGGAGAAGGACAUUUUUAAGACGAAGGAUAUCGUGGAGCAGGGGGACGACGGCAAGGACGACACGGAUAGCCUGAGCAGUACAGAGUCUGGGGAACUGGUGAAGAGAUUGAAACGGAAACGAGUUGAGGAGGACGACGAGGAAUCCGAAGCCAAGAGAAGAAGUGAAGAACCUCUUGUUAAACUAUUUAUCGUGGACGAGACUAACAAUGAGAAGGAAGAAAAGGAAGAUUUUGACGACGAUAAUGAAACUGACAAAGAUCUUAAACAAGACAAAGAGGAAGAAAAAGAUGCUGAAGAAGAAGUUUAUGAAGUGGAAUCAGUAGUGGAUUACGAUUACUGUAAAGAAACGGAGAGAGGACUUUACAAGAUUAAAUGGAUUGGUUGGGCAGAAGAGCAUAAUACCUGGGAACCUAUAGAUAACCUACUACACUGCAGGGAACACCUUGUUAAAUUUUACUACAAGAGAUUACAGGAGAGAGAAAGUGCUUCAGCAGGAAAGAAAAGAAGCCUACCUAUGCCCCCAGAUCCAAGAAUAUCAGAAGAUUUACGAGAUUUAUUCAUCUCUAAGUAUUACACCAAACCAUCUCAGGAGACAUUGGAGGCUUUAUUUCAGGCAAAGAAGAAGGGAAAGGUAACGAAGCUCCUGUCCGAGUCCGUUCUGAGGAAGGAGAUGGAGAACCUGGCGGGGCUCAAGAAGAUUAACAUGAAGAGGUUGGAGGCGGUGAGGGUUCAGUUGAACCUUCGCGAACUACAGACAUACAGGGAUAAUCAACUCAAACAAAUCAAGGACUGGGAGAAUAAGAUAAAUGAUAUUGAGAAGGAUGCUCAUGUAUCUGUAACUAACGAUGUGGAUCUGGACGGACCUCCAACAUUAAUGGAAUAUAUUAAUUGUUAUAAGGCUGGUGAUGGAAUAGAGAUACCUGACGACCCACGUCUUGGCUGUGAAUGUGAAAAUUGUUCUUCUAAAUGUAGCUGCUAUGGAAUGAAUGAAACCGAGAUGGCGUAUAAUCAGAAUGGAAGACUGAGAGUUGAUAUAGGAUAUCCAAUCUACGAAUGCAACAAAAGAUGUAAAUGUCCUUCCAGCUGUAGAAACAGAGUCGUGCAGAACGGACGAAAAGUUAAGCUUGGUAUUUUCAGAACAAGUAAUGGGUGUGGCUGGGGUGUGAGGACCCUGGAGAAUAUCAAGAAAGGCAGCUUUGUUGUCCAGUAUGUUGGCGAGGUUAUAACCUCUGACGAGGCCGAGGAGAGAGGGAAGAAGUAUGAUGCUGACGGGAAAACAUAUCUCUUUGAUCUGGACUUCAAUCUAGGGGAUGAAAAUCCAUUUACGGUCGACGCUGCUUUUUAUGGGAAUCUGAGUCACUUUAUAAACCACAGUUGUGAUCCUAACUUAAAUAUCUUCAACGUUUACAUCAACUGUUUAGAUCCAAACCUACCUCAGCUCUGCUUGUUCGCUAGACGGAAUAUUAAAAAAGGAGAGGAGCUGAAUUUUGACUAUUCUCAGUCCACACAAAGCGCAGACUCCGAGGACUCCCCUGAUUCCCCCUGCAAGACCCCUCACAGAGCCAAAGUUGGAGAAUCGUCGGCCGGACGACUAGGUACUCCUGGUCGAGUGGGUACUCCAGGACAAAAGAAAGAAUCCUCCAACGCUGUAGUUCAAAAAACAGAAUGUCGUUGCAACGCAAAGAAUUGUCGCAAAGUCCUUUUUUAAACCAACAAGUAUUUCUUUUUAUUAAAGCUUCUGUUGGUUUGUCAAAAGUAUAUUGUUUUAAUCGAAACUGAUCCAUUCUUCAAAUCUGGAAGAUAUGGUCGUUCCUCUAGGUUUAAAAGUAUUUACUUUGCAUAGCUCCUACAUGUUUUCUUGCAGUAGAAAUGCCCAAGUCUUUUU
Molecule: unclassified non-coding RNA, 2007 nt
Filed under: Eurytemora carolleeae
Lineage: Eukaryota; Metazoa; Arthropoda; Copepoda; Calanoida; Temoridae
Description: histone-lysine N-methyltransferase SUV39H1-A
Source: RNAcentral